This 333-nucleotide ribosomal RNA is filed under the name Triticum aestivum (bread wheat). RNAcentral's name for it is "partial small subunit ribosomal RNA". The record is from RNAcentral. Lineage: Eukaryota; Viridiplantae; Streptophyta; Magnoliopsida; Poales; Poaceae.
AUGGUUGCCCUCUCAAGCUCUAUUGUGCGCCAUGCAGUGGCACCACUGUUACAGAGCUACCUAGACUGCAGUGCGGUGGUUUGUCUCUGCUCUGUACCCUGCUGUUUGUCUCUACUUGGUACCCUUGGUGGAGAAGAGGUGUCGCCGACGGCGGCCCAGGAGUUGGUCGCUCGCCACUGGACGUUGCACAGCGGCAUCACCGCACAGCCGGCAAGGUGGGCUCAAGGAAGAGCGGUGUGGACGGAGAGGAGCUACCGAAGACGCGAUGUGCGGAUGGAGGGGAGCCGCCGGAGAUGUGCAGUGUUGGACACGAUGCCGCAGCCGAAACCCUAG